CCUACGGGUGGCAGCAGUGGGGAAUAUUGCACAAUGGAGGCAACCCUGAUGCAGCAACGCCGCGUGAGUGAAGAAGUAUUUCGGUAUGUAAAGCUCUUUCAGCAGGGACGAAAAUGACGGCACUUGCUUAAGAAGCACCGACUAACUACGUUCCAGCAGCCGCGGUAAUAAGUAGGUGGCAAGCGUUAUCCGGAUUUACUGGGUGUAAAGGGAGCGUAGUCGGCAGCAUAAGUCUGGAGUGAAAUGCCGGGGCUUAACCCCGGAACUGCUUUGGAGACUGUGGAGCUAGAGUGUAGGAGGGGUAAGUGGAAUGCCUAGUGUAGCGGUGAAAUGCGUAGAUAUUAGGAGGAACACCAGUGGCGAAGGCGGCUUACUGGAUUAUAACUGACGUUGAGGCUCGAAAGCGUGGGGAGCAAACAGGAUUAGAUACCCGGGUAGUC
This 440-nucleotide ribosomal RNA is filed under the name uncultured bacterium. RNAcentral's name for it is "partial 16S ribosomal RNA". It matches the Rfam family "Bacterial small subunit ribosomal RNA", at positions 338 to 795 of the family's 1533-position model. The record is from RNAcentral.